AGCAAAAUUUGGGAACAAAUGGAAAAGUCUGUGGAUCCAUAGUUUCUGCUAUAACAAACAAAGCUUUUAUGUUUAUAUUGCACUUCCAUGUCAGAAGAACCUGUGGAAGAAUCCAGGAAAAUGCCUAGUGUCAAUGUGAGGAACGUACAUGGAUGGCAGCAGACUACCAGGACAUGAAAAGAAUAGCUCCUUCCUGACUUACUCUCUCUUGGAUCAAUUACUGUGAUGGAAACCAGCUGCCAUGUCAGGAGUACACUCAGCUGGCCUAAUGGGAGGCCCACACAGAGAGGCACUGAGGUCGCCAAUCAAUAACCAACACCAAUACAGCGCAGCUUUAGCACAUUGAAUGUGUCAUACUACUCUCUCCUGGACUGCAGAGUUUUUGCUGACAAAUCUGCUGACAGCCAUGUUGGAACUCUCUUGAUUGUGGUGAAGCCUAAGAAACACUGUCUAGGCUAAAGGACCAAGGUCAACAUCAACAGCGGUAAGUCAUAUUGAUAGUAUGUACAUUUCAUAUGAUGUGAUGUAAAUAGCGUUUUAACUUCUGUGAUCUUUCUGGUACUGGGUAUGUGGGAACUCUCUGUUCUCUCUUUAACAUUUUUCUGUAAACAUAAAACUAGUCUAAAAUAGAAAGUUUAUUUUAAAAAUCAUGGCAUUUUGUUGCUCUAGGAAAAGUGAUAUAUAAAAGAAUGUGCCUUAAUGUGUCUCUGUCAUAUGCUUGCAGAAAGAGGAGACUUUGGGACUUGGAAGUGAUGCCUAAAAUAGAGUAUUUUUAAAACUAUGGAACAUAACCUCAAUAACAUUAUUGAGAAUGGCUACUUGGCAAAUAAGGGAACUUUUGCAUCAGAGAUUAUUUAUGAUACAUCACAAUAGCAAUCUUAAAAAUGGAAGCAGAUUCUCAGAGACCUAAAGCACAAAUAAAUGAUAAAGGAUUGCAAGUGUAAAUAUCAGGUUUCUCUAGGAUGAAGAAAUCUCCUUAAAAAAGGCCUACGUUUCAAAGCCUAGCUGUGCAGGAUGAAUGAAAAUCCAUUUGCCCAAUAAACUAGAAAAUCUAGAAGAAAUGGAUAAAUUCCUUGACACAUACACCCUCCCAAGAUUAAACCAGGAAGAAGUUGAAUCUCUGAAUAGACCAAUAACAGGCUCUGAAAUUGUGGCAAUAAUCAAUAGCUUACCAACCAAAAAAAGCCCAGGACCAGAUGGAUUCACAGCUGAAUUCUACCAGAGGUACAAGGAGGAGCUGGUACCAUUCCUUCUGAAACUAUUCCAAUCAAUAGAAAAAGAGGGAAUCCUCCCUAACUCAUUUUAUGAGGCCAGCAUCAUCCUGAUACCAAAGCCUGGCAGAGACACAACCAAAAAAGAGAAUUUUAGACCAAUAUCCUUGAUGAACAUUCAUACAAAAAUCCUCAAUAAAAUACUGGCAAACCGAAUCCAGCAGCACAGCAAAAAGCUUAUCCACCAUGAUCAAGUGGGCUUCAUCCCUGGGAUGCAAGGCUGGUUCAACAUACGCAAAUCAAUAAAUGUAAUCCAGCAUAUAAACAGAACCAAAGACAAAAACCACAUGAUUAUCUCAAUAGAUGCAGAAAAGGCCUUUGACAAAAUUCAACAACCUUCAUGCUAAAAACUCUCAAUAAAUUAGGUAUUGAUGGGACAUAUCUCAAAAUAAUAAGAGCUAUCUAUGACAAACCCACAGCCAAUAUCAUACUGAAUGGGCAAAAACUGGAAGCAUUCCCUUUGAAAACGGGCACAAGACAGGGAUGCCCUCUCUCACCACUCCUAUUCAACAUAGUGUUGGAAGUUCUGGCCAGGGCAGUCAGGCAGGAGAAGGAAAUAAAGGGUAUUCAAUUAGGAAAAGAGGAAGCCAAAUUGUCCCUGUUUUCAGAAGACAUGAUUGUAUAUCUAGAAAACCCCAUCAUCUCAGCCCAAAAUCUCCUUAAGCUGAUGAGCAACUUCAGCAAAGUCUCAGGAUACAAAAUCAAUCUUCAAAAAUCACAAGCAUUCUUAUACACCAAUAACAGACAAACAGAGAGCCAAAUCAUGAGUGAACUCCCAUUCACAAUUGCUUCAAAGAGAAUAAAAUACCUAGGAAUCCAACUUACAAGGGAUGUGAAGGACCUCUUCAAGGAGAACUACAAACCACUGCUCAAUGAAAUAAAAGAGGAUACAAACAAAUGGAAGAACAUUCCAUGUUCAUGGGUAGGAAGAAUCAAUAUCAUGAAAAUGGCCAUACUGCCCAAGGUAAUUUAUAGAUUCAAUGCCAUCCCCAUCAAGCUACCAAUGACUUUCUUCACAGAAUUGGAAAAAACUACUUUAAAGUUCAUAUGGAACCAAAAAAGAGCCCACAUCGCCAAGUCAAUCCUAAGCCAAAAGAACAAAGCUGGAGGCAUCACGCUACCUGACUUCAAACUAUACUACAAGGCUACAGUAACCAAAACAGCAUGGUAUUGGUACCAAAACAGAGAUAUAGAUCAAUGGAACAGAACAGAGCUCUCAGAAAUACUGCCACAUAUCUACAACCAUCUGAUCUUUGACAAACCUGACAAAAACAAGCAAUGGGGAAAGGAUUCCCUAUUUAAUAAAUGGUGCUGGGAAAACUGGCUGGCCAUAUGUAGAAAGCUGAAACUGGAAACCUUCCUUACACCUUAUAC
This is a long non-coding RNA of Pan troglodytes (chimpanzee), 2645 nucleotides long. RefSeq lists it as uncharacterized. The transcript is spliced from 4 exons. The record is from RefSeq and is a predicted model, not a curated record. NCBI's taxonomy places the organism in Eukaryota, Metazoa, Chordata, Mammalia, Primates, Hominidae.